UACAGAGGGGGCAAGCGUUAUUCGGAAUUAUUGGGCGUAAAGGGCGCGUAGGCGGCCUGGCAAGUGGAAGGUGAAAUCCCUCGGCUUAACCGAGGAACUGCCCUCCAAACUGCUUGGCUUGAGUCCGGGAGAGGUGAGUGGAACUGCGAGUGUAGAGGUGAAAUUCGUAGAUAUUCGCAAGAACACCAGUGGCGAAGGCGGCUCACUGGCCCGGUACUGACGCUGAGGUGCGAAAGCGUGGGGAGCAAACAGG
RNAcentral lists this ribosomal RNA (253 nucleotides) under uncultured bacterium. Its description in RNAcentral is "partial 16S ribosomal RNA". It matches the Rfam family "Bacterial small subunit ribosomal RNA", at positions 524 to 776 of the family's 1533-position model. The record is from RNAcentral.